Long non-coding RNA from Canis lupus familiaris (dog), 859 nucleotides. RefSeq lists it as uncharacterized. The record is from RefSeq and is a predicted model, not a curated record. NCBI's taxonomy places the organism in Eukaryota, Metazoa, Chordata, Mammalia, Carnivora, Canidae. The transcript is spliced from 3 exons.
CGCCGGACGCCUGCGGAGCUUCACAGGCUGCUGCCGCUCUGAGGAAGCUGAACCUCAGGUCAGGUACGUGACUGGCCUAGGACUUGGGUGACAAGCGGCAUGCCUCCAGGUGGCAUCUGUUUUUUGAAUUAAUAAGCCUACACUUUUCUCGUCAAAGGCAACAAUGACUUCAUCCUAUUUCCAGAGUGCAGAAAGCCUGCUUCUCAAUGACCCAGAUGAGAAAGAAAAAGCUAUAACUACAUGCCACCACUCUUGAUUGUUUCUGUUAUUAAAGAAAGAAAUAAGGUGACUUCCCUUGGGAAGGAAGGACCAGUACUGCCUUCUUAGGAUGCUGUGAAGUCUUGAAUUCAAACCAACCACUGAACCUAUCGUCACACCUGGCAGCGCUGACUAUGAGACAGCAAUGGUGGGCCUAGCUCCUAUGUUCCCAUGAAGAGCACCUGUAGAUGUUGUCCACACUCAUGUGGCAAAUGAACUGAUGUCAAAGACAAGCAAAAUUGCCAAAACUACCUUCUGGAAGCCCUUCUAAAAUGAAGGACUCAACUGCAUUGUUUGGACUGGGCAGAGAACCCCAAGGAAGCCACACUGGGGGCCCUAUUAACCUCUAAUGCCUAACUAAUGUUUGUCUUCAUCGGAUGGCCUAUCAGUUGCAAACUUUUUGUUUCCAAGGGUACUCUCUGGGAUUGAUUAUACUUCUUGCAUGUGUUCGUUGACUUUCAUGGAUUGCCUCAGUCCUGGAAGGCAUGCAGGUCAGCUUCAACUUACUAGUCAGAGUUGUACGGUGCUUGAAUUAAUGAUUCAAGCCAGGUAAAAAGGCUAAUGCAAAAAAAAAAAACUUUAGAGGAGAAAGCCACCUGGC